RNAcentral lists this ribosomal RNA (333 nucleotides) under uncultured bacterium. RNAcentral describes it as "bacterial SSU rRNA". It matches the Rfam family "Bacterial small subunit ribosomal RNA", at positions 9 to 294 of the family's 1533-position model. The record is from RNAcentral.
GAGUUUGAUCCUGGCUCAGAGUGAACGCUGGCGGCGUGGAUUAGGCAUGCAAGUCGCGCGAUCUUAAAUUUUGUUUUGUGUUGAACCGCAAGGGGAUAUGCAAAACGUUAUUUUGGAUAGCGGCAAACGGGUGAGUAACACGUGAGUAAUCUGCCUCUAAGUUAAGCAUAGCUUCGUGAAAACGGAGGUAAUUCUUAAUAGUACCCUGAUAUCGUAUGAUAUUUGGGUUAAAGGCCGGGACCGCAAGGCCGGUCGCUUAGGGAUGAGCUCGCGUCCUAUCAGCUUGUUGGUGGGGUAAUGGNNUACCAAGGCAUUUGACGGGUAGCUGGUCUG